This 497-nucleotide ribosomal RNA is filed under the name uncultured bacterium. RNAcentral describes it as "partial 16S ribosomal RNA". It matches the Rfam family "Bacterial small subunit ribosomal RNA", at positions 28 to 507 of the family's 1533-position model. The record is from RNAcentral.
GAUGAACGCUGGCGGCGUGCCUAAUACAUGCAAGUCGAGCGAACGGACGAGAAGCUUGCUUCUCUGAUGUUAGCGGCGGACGGGUGAGUAACACGUGGAUAACCUACCUAUAAGACUGGGAUAACUUCGGGAAACCGGAGCUAAUACCGGAUAAUAUUUUGAACCGCAUGGUUCAAAAGUGAAAGACGGUCUUGCUGUCACUUAUAGAUGGAUCCGCGCUGCAUUAGCUAGUUGGUAAGGUAACGGCUUACCAAGGCAACGAUGCAUAGCCGACCUGAGAGGGUGAUCGGCCACACUGGAACUGAGACACGGUCCAGACUCCUACGGGAGGCAGCAGUAGGGAAUCUUCCGCAAUGGGCGAAAGCCUGCCGGAGCAACGCCGCGUGAGUGAUGAAGGUCUUCGGAUCUUAAACCUCUGUUAUUAGGGAAGAACAUAUGUGUAAGUAACUGUGCACAUCUUGACGGUACCUAAUCAGAAAGCCACGGCUAACUACGUG